GAUCCUGGCUCAGGAUGAACGCUGGCGGCGUGCUUAACACAUGCAAGUCGAGCGAAGCACUUAGGAAAGAUUCUUCGGAUGAUUUUCUAUUUGACUGAGCGGCGGACGGGUGAGUAACGCGUGGGUAACCUGCCUCAUACGAGGGGGAUAACAGUUAGAAAUGACUGCUAAUACCGCAUAAGACCACAGCACCGCAUGGUGCGAAGGGGUAAAACGUCCGGUGGUAUGAGAUGGACCCGCGU
RNAcentral lists this ribosomal RNA (242 nucleotides) under uncultured bacterium. RNAcentral describes it as "partial 16S ribosomal RNA". It matches the Rfam family "Bacterial small subunit ribosomal RNA", at positions 15 to 236 of the family's 1533-position model. The record is from RNAcentral.